This 86-nucleotide transfer RNA is filed under the name Methanomicrobia archaeon. Its description in RNAcentral is "tRNA-Ser". It matches the Rfam family "tRNA". Rfam says of the family: Transfer RNA (tRNA) molecules are approximately 80 nucleotides in length. The record is from RNAcentral. Lineage: Archaea; Methanobacteriati; Methanobacteriota; Methanomicrobia.
GCCGAGGUAGCUAAGUGGACUAAAGCGCCGGCCUUGAGAGCCGGUGUCCCGCACGGGACCCAAGGGUUCAAAUCCCUUCCUCGGCG